ACAGGUCAGUAUGGCUGUGCUCAUGUCGUGUUCCUUUACAAUGCUCUCCAUACUCCUGGAAAGGAUGUGAUGGUCUCUGUCUUAAGUAGUAUUUAUACGAAAACUAUGGCUUACACAUUGCUUCAUUUGCCUUUAUUGUUCACAUCUGAUAACUACAGAUCCCUUCAGAAACUCACAAGGUCCUCUGUCUGGUAAGAAGUGGAGCCUAUAUUCAAAUCCAGUCCUGUCCUAUACACUGCAAUUUAGCAGCUCCUCAAAACGCACAGCCUGAGAUAGUAGAAUGGAUCACACUCCACUGGAUCUGCCGUUGGUUAUUUCUUGAAAAGGCUCCUACUUUGGUGUCCUUUAAGUAUUCUUCCUUGUGCCAGAAGAGGUGCUGCAGCCAGAAUGGAGGUUCAGUCAAAAUAUCUCAACUUUAUAACUGGAGAAGCAUCAGUGAGUAUACUAUGUUUGGAAUCAGGUCUCAUACUAGUCCUCAGAAGAAACCCUUUUCUUCUCAGGCUUGACACAUCAGACACCUUUAAAAUGAAAGAAAGUGUACUACCUCAAUGAUCUCAUCUAUACCUGUUUCCUCAAUCUUUAGUCAAUCGUACCCCCAAAACAGAAAAAAAAAAACUAAUUCAGUGAAAUUAGAAAUGAGAAAGGUAAAACCCAACAGACACCACUGAAAUCCAGAAGAUUAUUAAAAACUACUUUUAGAAUUUGUAUUCCAGUAAAUUGGAGAAUUCAGAAGAAUUAGAUAGAUUCCUUAGACACAUGUCAAUUGCAAACUUCAACCAAGAUAUAAAAAUCCUGAAUAGUUCACUAAUAGGCAGUGAAAUUGAAGCAGUUAUAAAAUAACAAAACAAUAAAAAAAUGACUAAUUAAGAAAAGGCCUGAACCCAGUGGAUUCACCACUGAUUUUUUUACAAGAGCUUUAGGGAUGAUCCAAAGACAAUACUCCUCAAAAUCUUUAAUGAAAUUGAAAAAGAAGUACUGAAAAAGUCAUUCCUGGAAGCUAACAUUACUCUAAUUACAAAACCAGAAAAAGACCAAC
This 1036-nucleotide long non-coding RNA is filed under the name Fukomys damarensis (Damara mole-rat). RNAcentral's name for it is "lncRNA (ENSFDAG00000021984.1)". Lineage: Eukaryota; Metazoa; Chordata; Mammalia; Rodentia; Bathyergidae. The record is from RNAcentral.